ACACGGAAGGGAGGUGGUCCAGGAAUUGAAUUCUCAUUGGACGCGUGAGGUGACUGCGCGCUAGCGCACCUCGACUGCUCGAGGACGCGCCUCGGCGCAAUCCCCAGCAGCUCACCGCAGCCCGCGGGUCGUGCAGGUCGUCCCCUGCACUCGUCGCCGACCACUCGGUCGACAGGCCCGCGGGCUGUUCCCU
RNAcentral lists this small RNA (193 nucleotides) under Knoellia aerolata DSM 18566. RNAcentral's name for it is "Actinobacteria sRNA Ms_IGR-5". It matches the Rfam family "Actinobacteria sRNA Ms_IGR-5". Lineage: Bacteria; Bacillati; Actinomycetota; Actinomycetes; Micrococcales; Intrasporangiaceae. The record is from Rfam by way of RNAcentral.